This is a long non-coding RNA of Anopheles merus, 719 nucleotides long. RefSeq lists it as uncharacterized. The transcript is spliced from 2 exons. NCBI's taxonomy places the organism in Eukaryota, Metazoa, Arthropoda, Insecta, Diptera, Culicidae. The record is from RefSeq and is a predicted model, not a curated record.
UUAUGGGUACAGGCAGGCCUUGACCGACAGCGGUUGUUGUGCCAAAGAACAAAGAAUAAGAAGAAGAAAGUCCUCUGAUCCUCUCUUGCCCCGUUAUUUUCUUAGGAGCUUGAAAAAUGUAAAGUCAUUUCGUUCAUCGGUUCCUGCAAUCUUGAUGGUUAGUGGUGAUAUUGAUGCAUCAAAUGUACUUGGUGCUAUAAAAUUCUUUGCUCCGUUUAGGUCUAUCAGGCAAAAUCAAAUAAUACGUGCGUCACAUUAUCGUACCAGAUUCGAUUGGAGUAGCCGGAAUCAUAUUUAUUUCGAAAUCGGAUUCGGAUUCAGUAAAGCGGAGUUGGGGUGGAUUCACGAAUCAAAUCCAGAGCUGCGAUCACUUGACAUUUGCAUGGAGAAGAUGGUUCCUUGCUUAUAACCAUAACAUGAUGUAACAUGAUGAGUAUAUUAUUGAGGAGCAAAAGUCUGUUAAUUUACUCGACUUACAUUCAUCAUGGUUUUCGUUGUAAACGAAAUUAAUUUGAUAUGGCUAAUAGCUAAAAUUAACCAAUUUAUUCAUGUCACAGCCAUAGACACUAAAUUCCUACAAUAACCAACUACAAUGGAAAUAAUACGCAUAAUUAAAAAUGUAUUACAUGUAUUACAUAACCGAAGGAAUUUGCUACCAUUAACAUAUUUCAGAUAAAAAGUGUUGCAGUGCUGCGACACUCAGAUACGCUAAGAUCUAA